RNAcentral lists this ribosomal RNA (468 nucleotides) under uncultured bacterium. RNAcentral's name for it is "partial 16S ribosomal RNA". It matches the Rfam family "Bacterial small subunit ribosomal RNA", at positions 28 to 507 of the family's 1533-position model. The record is from RNAcentral.
GACGAACGCUGGCGGCGUGCUUAACACAUGCAAGUCGAACGGAAAGGCCCUGCUUUUGUGGGGUGCUCGAGUGGCGAACGGGUGAGUAACACGUGAGUAACCUGCCCUUGACUUUGGGAUAACUUCAGGAAACUGGGGCUAAUACCGGAUAGGAGCUCCUGCUGCAUGGUGGGGGUUGGAAAGUUUCGGCGGUUGGGGAUGGACUCGCGGCUUAUCAGCUUGUUGGUGGGGUAGUGGCUUACCAAGGCUUUGACGGGUAGCCGGCCUGAGAGGGUGACCGGCCACAUUGGGACUGAGAUACGGCCCAGAGUCCUACGGGAGGCAGCAGUGGGGGAUAUUGCACAAUGGGCGGAAGCCUGAUGCAGCAACGCCGCGUGCGGGAUGACGGCCUUCGGGGUGUAAACCGCUUUCGCCUGUGACGAAGCGUGAGUGACGGUAAUGGGUAAAGAAGCACCGGCUAACUACGUG